UCCUCUGGAUCCCUGGGUGGGAAAGAACACAGGGCCUGCAGGUAUCACAGGAAAAGAAAGUCCACCACUGCACCAUCUGAAGUCGGCAUGCCCGGUGCUGGCACCACAGACACCAGUGACUUGGAGUCACCUAACACAUAUGGGACUGCAGCCCAGGAGGUGGAGCCUUGGCUGGAGUUGGACCAAAAAUGACACACUGCUACUGCCCCCUACUAGAUGGGUUGAUUCUGGUGCCUACAGUGAAAUAAUUC
Erinaceus europaeus (western European hedgehog) is the source of this 251-nucleotide long non-coding RNA. RefSeq lists it as uncharacterized. The record is from RefSeq and is a predicted model, not a curated record. NCBI's taxonomy places the organism in Eukaryota, Metazoa, Chordata, Mammalia, Eulipotyphla, Erinaceidae. The transcript has 3 exons.